AGUGAACGCUGGCGGUAGGCCUAACACAUGCAAGUCGAACGGCAGCACAGUAAGAGCUUGCUCUUACGGGUGGCGAGUGGCGGACGGGUGAGGAAUACAUCGGAAUCUACUUUUUCGUGGGGGAUAACGUAGGGAAACUUACGCUAAUACCGCAUACGACCUACGGGUGAAAGCAGGGGAUCUUCGGACCUUGCGCGAUUGAAUGAGCCGAUGUCGGAUUAGCUAGUUGGCGGGGUAAAGGCCCACCAAGGCGACGAUCCGUAGCUGGUCUGAGAGGAUGAUCAGCCACACUGGAACUGAGACGCGGUCCAGACUCCUACGGGAGGCAGCAGUGGGGAAUAUUGGACAGUGGGCGCAAGCCUGAUCCAGCCAUACCGCGUGGGUGAAGAAGGCCUUCGGGUUGUAAAGCCCUUUUGUUGGGAAAGAAAAGCAGCAGGUUAAUACCCCGCUGUUCUGACGGUACCCAAAGAAUAAGCACCGGCUAACUUCGU
Molecule: ribosomal RNA, 491 nt
Filed under: uncultured bacterium
Lineage: Bacteria
Description: partial 16S ribosomal RNA
Rfam family: Bacterial small subunit ribosomal RNA
Source: RNAcentral